Molecule: ribosomal RNA, 497 nt
Filed under: uncultured bacterium
Lineage: Bacteria
Description: partial 16S ribosomal RNA
Rfam family: Bacterial small subunit ribosomal RNA
Source: RNAcentral
GAUGAACGCUGGCGGCGUGCCUAAUACAUGCAAGUCGAACGAACAGACGAGCUUCUUGCUCUUCUUACGUUAUCCUCGGACGGGUGAGUAACACGUGGCUAACCUACCUUUAAGACUGGGCUUACUUCUGGAACCCGGAGCUAAUACCUGAUACUCUAUUGAACCGCAUGGUUCAGUCGUUAGUGACGGUUUUGCUGUUACUUAUAGAUGGUUCCGCGCCGCAUUAGCUAGUUGUUAAGGUAACGGCUUACCAAGGCAACGAUGCGUAGCCGACCGGAGAGGGUGAUCGGCCACACUGGAACUGAGACACGGUCAAGACUCAGACGGGAGGGAGAAGUAGGGAAGCUGCAGAAAGGGGCGAAAGCCGGAGGGAGCAACGGCGCGGGAGUGAUGAAGGUCUUCGGAUCGGAAAACUCUGUUACUAGGGAAGAACAAAUGUGUAAGUAACUAUGCACGUCGUGACGGUACCGAAUGAGAAAGCCACGGCUAACUACGUG